UUGGGGUUUCGGCCUCAAGGGAGUGGCGGACGGGUGAGUAGCGCGUGGGAACCUGCCCCUUUGUGGGGGAUAACCGAGGGAAACUUCGGCUAAUACCGCAUGCGCCCCGGAGCAAUCCGGGGGAAAGAUUUAUCGCAGAGGGAGGGGCCCGCGUCGGAUUAGGUAGUUGGUGGGGUAACGGCUUACCAAGCCUGUGAUCCGUAGCUGGUCUGAGAGGAUGAUCAGCCACACUGGGACUGAGACACGGCCCAGACUCCUACGGGAGGCAGCAGUGGGGAAUAUUGGACAAUGGGGGCAACCCUGAUCCAGCAAUGCCGCGUGAGUGAUGAAGGCCUUAGGG
RNAcentral lists this ribosomal RNA (340 nucleotides) under uncultured bacterium. RNAcentral describes it as "bacterial SSU rRNA". It matches the Rfam family "Bacterial small subunit ribosomal RNA", at positions 72 to 422 of the family's 1533-position model. The record is from RNAcentral.